RNAcentral lists this ribosomal RNA (506 nucleotides) under uncultured bacterium. RNAcentral describes it as "partial 16S ribosomal RNA". It matches the Rfam family "Bacterial small subunit ribosomal RNA", at positions 29 to 523 of the family's 1533-position model. The record is from RNAcentral.
AGUGAACGCUGGCGGUAGGCCUAACACAUGCAAGUCGAACGGCAGCACAGGAGAGCUUGCUCUCUGGGUGGCGAGUGGCGGACGGGUGAGGAAUACAUCGGAAUCUACUUUUUCGUGGGGGAUAACGUAGGGAAACUUACGCUAAUACCGCAUACGGCCUACGGGUGAAAGCAGGGGAUCUUCGGACCUUGCGCGAUUGAAUGAGGCGAUGUCGGAUUAGCUAGUUGGCGGGGUAAAGGCCCACGAAGGCGACGAUCCGUAGCUGGUCUGAGAGGAUGAUCAGCCACACUGGAACUGAGACACGGUCCAGACUCCUACGGGAGGCAGCAGUGGGGAAUAUUGGACAAUGGGCGCAAGCCUGAUCCAGCCAUACCGCGUGGGUGAAGAAGGCCUUCGGGUUGUAAAGCCCUUUUGUUGGGAAAGAAAUCCAGCUGGUUAAUACCCGGUUGGGAUGACGGUACCCAAAGAAUAAGCACCGGCUAACUUCGUGCCAGCCGCCGCAGUAA